This 459-nucleotide ribosomal RNA is filed under the name Trichoderma asperellum. RNAcentral describes it as "partial small subunit ribosomal RNA". Lineage: Eukaryota; Fungi; Ascomycota; Sordariomycetes; Hypocreales; Hypocreaceae. The record is from RNAcentral.
UUGAGGUGAAAUGCUUACACUUUCAUUUAUAGACCAAAUUAAUGUUUAAUAUCUAAUUUUAAAUUAUAAUAUUAAAUCUUAAUCUAACCUAUGGCAUUCAUCAUUUACUGCAAAGACUACUUGGGUAUCUAAUCCUGUUUGUGCUCUGUGCCUUCGUCCUUUAACGUCAGUUUUCACAUAGAGGGCUGCCUUCGCCUUUACCGAGUCCCUUUGGUAUCAUAGAAUUUCAUCUCUCCUCCUCAAGUACUGCCCUCUUACAUAAAACUCUAGUCAAGUACUAACAUUUUAGAAGCUAUAUUGACCGUCUAGGUACCCUUUAAACCUAAUUAAGAUGAAUAACACUAGUCUCUUACGUAUUACCGCGACUGCUGGCACGCAAUUAGUCAAGACACGAUAUAUAUACUGUCAUUAUCAAUAUAUAAACAAAGCUUUAUUCAAUUUUAAUACAAUCCUAUAGAU